UACGUAGGGUGCGAGCGUUAAUCGGAAUUACUGGGCGUAAAGGGCGCGCAGGCGGCUAGUUUUGUCGAGUGUGAAAGCCCCGGGCUUAACCUGGGAACUGCGCUCGAAACGGGCUGGCUAGAGAUCGGGAGAGGAGAGUGGAAUUCCUGGUGUAGCGGUGAAAUGCGCAGAUAUCAGGAGGAACACCUAUUGCGAAGGCAGCUCGCUGGGACGUAACUGACGCUGAGACGCGAAAGCGUGGGGAGCAAACAGG
RNAcentral lists this ribosomal RNA (253 nucleotides) under uncultured bacterium. Its description in RNAcentral is "partial 16S ribosomal RNA". It matches the Rfam family "Bacterial small subunit ribosomal RNA", at positions 524 to 776 of the family's 1533-position model. The record is from RNAcentral.